GUAAAUAUCACCCUUGACAAUAUUUGUUUA
This 30-nucleotide non-coding RNA is filed under the name Mus musculus (house mouse). Lineage: Eukaryota; Metazoa; Chordata; Mammalia; Rodentia; Muridae. The record is from RNAcentral.